AACUCAGGAGAGACUCAGAUAUUUUUAUGAGCGCCGAAGGUGUACGCAGCAGUCCGCUGCAAUUCUCUCAGGCAAAAGGAUGGAGGAAGAA
RNAcentral lists this non-coding RNA (91 nucleotides) under Frisingicoccus caecimuris. RNAcentral's name for it is "Glycine riboswitch". It matches the Rfam family "Glycine riboswitch aptamer", at positions 9 to 86 of the family's 94-position model. Rfam says of the family: This family represents the bacterial glycine riboswitch. Glycine riboswitches usually consist of two metabolite-binding aptamers domains with similar structures in tandem. Lineage: Bacteria; Bacillati; Bacillota; Clostridia; Lachnospirales; Lachnospiraceae. The record is from RNAcentral.